Molecule: ribosomal RNA, 460 nt
Filed under: uncultured bacterium
Lineage: Bacteria
Description: partial 16S ribosomal RNA
Rfam family: Bacterial small subunit ribosomal RNA
Source: RNAcentral
CCUACGGGAGGCAGCAGUGAGGAAUAUUGGUCAAUGGACGAGAGUCUGAACCAGCCAAGUAGCGUGAAGGAUGACUGCCCUAUGGGUUGUAAACUUCUUUUAUAUGGGAAUAAAACGUUCCACGUGUGGGAUUUUGUAUGUACCAUAUGAAUAAGGAUCGGCUAACUCCGUGCCAGCAGCCGCGGUAAUACGGAGGAUCCGAGCGUUAUCCGGAUUUAUUGGGUUUAAAGGGAGCGUAGGUGGAUUGUUAAGUGAGUUGUGAAAGUUUGCGGCUCAACCGUAAAAUUGCAGUUGAAACUGGCAGUCUUGAGUACAGUAGAGGUGGGCGGAAUUCGUGGUGUAGCGGUGAAAUGCUUAGAUAUCACGAAGAACUCCGAUUGCGAAGGCAGUUCACUGGACUGCAACUGACACUGAGGCUCGAAAGUGUGGGUAUCAAACAGGAUUAGAUACCCGUGUAGUC